RNAcentral lists this long non-coding RNA (4478 nucleotides) under Triticum aestivum (bread wheat). RNAcentral describes it as "long non-coding RNA (TAES_LNC011299)". Lineage: Eukaryota; Viridiplantae; Streptophyta; Magnoliopsida; Poales; Poaceae. The record is from RNAcentral.
AACAACAACAACAACAACAACAACAACAACAACAACAACAACAACAACAACAACAACAACAGCAGCAACAACCGUCGAGCCAGGUCUCCUUCCAACAGCCUCAGCAACAAUAUCCAUCAGGCCAGGGCUCCUUCCAGCCAUCUCAGCAAAACCCACAGGCCCAGAGCUCUGUCCAACAUCAACAACUACCCCAAUUUGAGGAAAUAAGGAACCUAGCACUGCAGACGCUACCAGCAGUGUGCAAUGUCUACAUCCCUCCAUAUUGCUCGACCACCAUUGCGCCAUUUGGCAUCUUCGGUACUAACUGAGAAGAGAAGAACUCUAGUACUAGAUAUAUGAAACACUGUUUUCUUAGUCCAUGGUUUGGUCAUUGUAGCGGUGAGAAAAUAAAGUGACAUGCACUAUCAUGUAAGAACCCGAACUAUACUAGUUCAAACUUGGGAAUAAAAGACAAACACAGGUCUUGUCUACAUAUGGUUGUUUCUUUGUGUUCCAUUCAUGUGCCCGUUCACAAGUUCACCCCUAAUUAUAUAUAUUAUGCAUUACGUAGAUAUUUAUGUUGCAUUAAUUUACAGAUAAUAAAAUGAGUCUGAAACUUGAAUUAAAUUGAAGUAUUUUCUUGGACUUUCAAAUUGACUAUUAUUAAAGUAGUAAGGACUAUCCACAUCCUUGGCUCGCCCUUGAUCAAUUAAUUCCAGAGAAGCAUUCAAUUCAUCAAUCAAUUACAUUGAUUUUUGUGGCUCGUACUUCUCCUCAACAUGAGUAUAUUCAUUGCAGCUACUUCGAAUCGGCAUGAAUGAGGUACUGGUGCCUGGAGCAGUGCUAGCUGAUUGCCUCUAAUGUGAAGGGGCGUGGGCACAGGAGAGGUGUUUUGGGUGGGCCAGGCGAGUAAGAAGCGGGCCCAUCAGCGGUCCGGACGCCCGCAAAGCCCCGUAGUUUGUUUUCGGUUUACAGGAAAAAAACACAUCCGGACCGGCCUGCGGGCCAAUAUAGGACCGUACGUAUUGGAUGGCAAAACAUGUUCGGAUGGUUGCGAGCAGUUUGAGGGAUAGCUUUAGAGAUAGCCCUUACUUGACCCCUCGUUCCGAAAACAAUUAUGACGAUAGAUUUGCCUCGGUUCAGAAAUAUGUCAGGUUUAACAAAGUUUAUUGGAAUUUUCUUUAUCAUAUCUACAGUACCAUACAAAUACACCAUAGAAAAAGAAGCAUAUUUCAUGAUUCACCAUGAAUUGGCCAGGUAAAUGUUGGGUCUGGAGACUCUAUUCUCUUUUGGCAUGAGUUGCCUAGGUCUCAAAAGUUUCAUGAACCGUUCUCUUUUGCCAUUAAGAAAAAGCCCUCUUUGGCUGAUUUUAUUCAUAGUGAUGAUCUGACUCUCCAUUUUCAUAGGCAUACCACCCUGCAAGCUCUUGCUCAAUUCAUUGACAUCAUUGACUUAGUUCAUAAAAAAAUCAACAAAGGAAUAAAAUAAUAUCACGAAGAUACCAAUUACACCCGUCCUCUCUAUCAACAAGCUAGAUGUCCAAAGACAUCAAGGAUACACACAGCUGGAAAAAAUAAUAGAAGAAAAAAGAUCCCGCCAUGGUGAUCGAUCACUAGCAUCUGUAGCACUCUAACCACCACCAAAGACAACACCCGGAUUACCAAAAAAAUUCUCCAGAAACAACCCCCCAAGAAGGAAACAAUGCACAAGCGUUGUCAUUACCCGAUUGAAGAUCGUGGGUUUUGACCCUAGAAAAAUUUCAAGCUCACCCAAAAACAUUGCCUUCAUCAAGGCCAUUGGCAGGUACAACCAAUAAAGGCUAGACCUUGGAUUUUCACCCUAGGAAUUGAGACUCAGUACUCGAGGAGUACCACCAAAAAUGCAGUCCUCCAGUGAUGGUGCCCCCGCUUGCCGAGGCCGCUAUUUCAAGUCACCAAACACAUGGCGCACAUUCUUCAACGCAUCAAUUACACCCUUCCAGCAAAGCUUCAAGACCUCGAAUUGCAGUCGCGAUGACUUUCUCCACCUCUAUCAAUGCCUUAAGAAUCUUGACUUAGACAUGUCCCAUGACACCAAUAAGAAAUUGAAGCUUCUUGUCGCGCCCUCUUGAGGUCGUGUUGGCUAAUAAUAUGAGCGUGCGCCACCGGAGCCUUUCUGAUCUAGAUAUCCAGGGGCGACAUACACAAAUCUGUAUAGAUAUCCGAUGGGAAAGAGCAAAAUUGGUCACCGGCUAGAUCUAAGAGGUUUGGUCACCGGCUAGAUCUAAGAGGUCGACAUCCGGCAGAAAGGCAACUUGGCGGAAGAACAGUACUAGGGCCAAACCACCAUUAUUACGCUGAGGCUAUCUGUGGUGUCCAAGGCCCAAUGCACCACAUGUCUUCAAAUUGGCCACCAGUAGUAGCCCUUAGAAUAGACAGGGCCAGUUUGCAAAUUUUAAAACAUAGGUUUUUAGCACGCAUGAAAAACAUAAUACGUAUCUUUCCACACAUAAUGAACUAUAGGUACCACCCAAAAAAACAUAAUGAACUAUAGGUUGUCAUCAGAACUCAUGCCAUCCCACAGCCUCCCUCCGACCCUGCCAACAUUAUUGCAGCUGCACUCGCAAGCGUUACCGUGGAUGAUCAUUUGCAUGAUUUCACGUAAAACAAAAUAAGAGCUACAAAUGAAUAAAAGCUACACAUACCUUGGCAUACACACACAUUGCAAGCCAUACUAUGCUGCUAAGUGUUAAUAACUUGUACAACAUAUACAACAGUUAAGACAAGUAAAAGCAAUUUGAUGGGUCAUGUCUAUCAAAGCAAGCUACAUUACUACUUUAAUCUAUCUUAAAUGGGUCACACAUGAUUAUAAUCUUUUUUGUGUGCAACUAAAGCUUAUCUAGUUUACACGUAACAACUUGUACAACAUUACAAAGUUGAUGUUUGCUAAUAACUUCUAGAACACUACGGCACUUGACAUGUAAAAGGAAUUUGAUGAGUCAUGGCCUACUAAAGCAAGUUACAUUACUAGUCUCCUCUAUCUUAACAGGCCACAGAAGAUUACAAACUAGGUUUCGUGCAUGCAAUGCUUAUCUAGUUUACACCUAACAACUUGCAUAACAUUACAAACUUAGUUUGAGAAAAUUAGGUAAUCUAGAUUAGUGUUUGAGUUGUAAAGUGAAUAAGAUGAGUCAUGUGUGUUAUCAUAGAUUUUUGGUGGUGGAAUGAUAGUGCCACCAAACACAACAUAUCAAAUUAUGAUUUCAGGAAGCUUCCAAGCACUUUCUUGGCAAGCAAAUGCCAACUGUGAAGGUGAUUAUGCCAUGGUAGCUAUAAAUAGGACUGUAGCAUGAUGAUCAUCCUUCCUCAUCCAUCAUUCUCGUAAGUAGAGCGCACCAUUCAAGCCAAGCAAGCAGUGGUCAAUACAAAUCCACCAUGAAGACCUUUCUCAUCCUUGCCCUCCUUGCUAUCGCGGCGACCACCGCCACAACUGCAGUUAGAGUUCCAGUGCCACAAUUGUAGCCGCAAAAUCCAUCUCAACAACGACCACAAUAGUAAUUUCCGUUGGUGCAACAACAACAAUUUCCAGGGCAGCAACAACCAUUCCCACCACAACAGCCAUAUCCGCAGCCGCAACCGUUUCUGUCACAACAACCAUAUUCGCAACCGUAACCAUUUCCGCCACAACUACCAUAUCCACAAGCGCAACCAUUUCCAACACAACAACCAUAUCCACAACCGCAACCACAGUAUCCGCAACCACAACAACCAAUUUCGCAGCAGCAGCAGCAGCAACAACAACAACAACAACAACAACAACAACAAAUCCUUCAACAAAUUCUGCAACAACAAAUGAUUCCAUGCAGGGAUGUCGUCUUGCAACAACACAACAUUGCAUAUGCAAGCUCACAAGUAUUGCAACAAAGUAGUUACCAACUGUUGCAACAAUUAUGUUGUCAGCAGCUGUGGCAGAUCCCCGAGCAGUCGCGGCGCCAAGCCAUCCACAGUGUCGUUCAUGCUAUUAUUUUCCAUCAUCAUCAACAACAACAACCGUCGAGCCAGGUCUCCUACCAGCAGCCUCAACAACAAUAUCCAUCAAGCCAGGGCUCCUUCUAGCCAUCUCAGCUAAACCCACAGGCCCAGGGCUCUGUCCAGCCUCAACAACUGCCCCGGUUCAAGGAAAUAAGUAACCUAGCGCUGCAGAUGCUGCCAGCAAUGUGCAAUGUCUACAUCCCUCCAUAUUGCUUGAGCACCAUUGUGCCAUUUGGCAUCUUCGGUACUAACUAAUAAGAGAAGAACUCUAGUACUAGACAUAUGAAACACCGUUUUCUUAGUCCAUGGUUUGGUCGUUGUAGCGGUGAAAAAAUAAAGUGACAUGCACUAUCAUGUAAGAACCCGAACUAUACUAGUUCAAACUUGGGAAUAAAAGACAAACACAGGUCUUGUCUGCAUAUGGUUGUAUGUUUGAGUUCCAUUCAUGUGCCCGUUCACAAGUUCACCCCUAUUUAUAUACAUUAUGCA